AUUGAACGCUGGCGGCAGGCCUAACACAUGCAAGUCGAGCGGAUGAAGGGAGCUUGCUCCUGGAUUCAGCGGCGGACGGGUGAGUAAUGCCUAGGAAUCUGCCUGGUAGUGGGGGAUAACGUCCGGAAACGGGCGCUAAUACCGCAUACGUCCUGAGGGAGAAAGUGGGGGAUCUUCGGACCUCACGCUAUCAGAUGAGCCUAGGUCGGAUUAGCUAGUUGGUGGGGUAAAGGCCUACCAAGGCGACGAUCCGUAACUGGUCUGAGAGGAUGAUCAGUCACACUGGAAAUGAGAAACGGUCCAAACCCCUACGGGAGGCAGGAGGGGGGAAUUUUGGACAAGGGGCGAAAGCCUGAUCCAGCCAGGCCGCGGGUGUGAAGAAGGUCUUCGGAUUGUAAAGCACUUUAAGUUGGGAGGAAGGGAAGUAAGUUAAUACCUUGCUGUUUUGACGUUACCAAAAGAAUAAGCACCGGCUAACUUCGU
This 483-nucleotide ribosomal RNA is filed under the name uncultured bacterium. Its description in RNAcentral is "partial 16S ribosomal RNA". It matches the Rfam family "Bacterial small subunit ribosomal RNA", at positions 30 to 506 of the family's 1533-position model. The record is from RNAcentral.